This 500-nucleotide ribosomal RNA is filed under the name uncultured bacterium. Its description in RNAcentral is "bacterial SSU rRNA". It matches the Rfam family "Bacterial small subunit ribosomal RNA", at positions 26 to 518 of the family's 1533-position model. The record is from RNAcentral.
AGGAUGAACGCUAGCGACAGGCUAACACAUGCAAGUCGAGGGGCAGCACGGGAGUAGCAAUACAACUGGUGGCGACCGGCGCACGGGUGAGUAACGCGUAUGCAACCUACCUAUCAGAGGGGAAUAACCCGGCGAAAGUCGGACUAAUACCGCAUAAAACAGGGGCACCGCAUGGUGAUAUUUGUUAAAGAGAUUCGCUGAUAGAUGGGCAUGCGUUCCAUUAGGUAGUUGGUGAGGUAACGGCUCACCAAGCCGACGAUGGAUAGGGGAACUGAGAGGUUGGUCCCCCACACUGGUACUGAGACACGGACCAGACUCCUACGGGAGGCAGCAGUGAGGAAUAUUGGUCAAUGGGCGGGAGCCUGAACCAGCCAAGUCGCGUGAAGGAAGAAGGAUCUAUGGUUCGUAAACUUCUUUUGCAGGGGAAUAAAGUGCAGGACGUGUCCUGUUUUGUAUGUACCCUGAGAAUAAGGAUCGGCUAACUCCGUGCCAGCCGCCGC